RNAcentral lists this ribosomal RNA (252 nucleotides) under uncultured bacterium. Its description in RNAcentral is "partial 16S ribosomal RNA". It matches the Rfam family "Bacterial small subunit ribosomal RNA", at positions 525 to 776 of the family's 1533-position model. The record is from RNAcentral.
ACGAAGGGGGCUAGCGUUGUUCGGAAUCACUGGGCGUAAAGGGCGCGUAGGCGGCUGGUCAAGUCGGGGGUGAAAUCCUGGAGCUCAACUCCAGGACUGCCUUCGAUACUGGAAAGCUCGAGUCCGGGAGAGGUGAGUGGAACUGCGAGUGUAGAGGUGAAAUUCGUAGAUAUUCGCAAGAACACCAGUGGCGAAGGCGGCUCACUGGCCCGGUACUGACGCUGAGGUGCGAAAGCGUGGGGAGCAAACAGG